RNAcentral lists this ribosomal RNA (231 nucleotides) under uncultured bacterium. RNAcentral's name for it is "partial 16S ribosomal RNA". It matches the Rfam family "Bacterial small subunit ribosomal RNA", at positions 99 to 334 of the family's 1533-position model. The record is from RNAcentral.
CGGACGGGUGAGUAAUGUCUGGGAAACUGCCUGAUGAGGGGGAUAACUACUGGAAACGGUAGCUAAUACCGCAUAACGUCGCAAGACCAAAGAGGGGGACCUUCGGGCCUCUUGCCAUCGGAUGUGCCCAGAUGGGAUUAGCUAGCAGGUGGGGUAACGGCUCACCUAGGCGACGAUCCCUAGCUGGUCUGAGAGGAUGACCAGCCACACUGGAACUGAGACACGGUCCAG